RNAcentral lists this ribosomal RNA (484 nucleotides) under uncultured bacterium. Its description in RNAcentral is "partial 16S ribosomal RNA". It matches the Rfam family "Bacterial small subunit ribosomal RNA", at positions 30 to 507 of the family's 1533-position model. The record is from RNAcentral.
AUUGAACGCUGGCGGCAGGCCUAACACAUGCAAGUCGAGCGGAUGAAGGGAGCUUGCUCCUGGAUUCAGCGGAGGACGGGUGAGUAAUGCCUAGGAAUCUGCCUGGUAGUGGGGGAUAACGUCCGGAAACGGGCGCUAAUACCGCAUACGUCCUGAGGGAGAAAGUGGGGGAUCUUCGGACCUCACGCUAUCAGAUGAGCCUAGGUCGGAUUAGCUAGUUGGUGGGGUAAAGGCCUACCAAGGCGACGAUCCGUAACUGCUCUGAGAGGAUGAUCAGUCACACUGGAACUGAGACACGGUCCAGACUCCUACGGGAGGCAGCAGUGGGGAAUAUUGGACAAUGGGCGAAAGCCUGAUCCAGCCAUGCCGCGUGUGUGAAGAAGGUCUUCGGAUUGUAAAGCACUUUAAGUUGGGAGGAAGGGCAGUAAGUUAAUACCUUGCUGUUUUGACGUUACCAACAGAAUGAGCACCGGCUAACUUCGUG